This 1530-nucleotide long non-coding RNA is filed under the name Dicentrarchus labrax (European seabass). RNAcentral describes it as "lncRNA (ENSDLAG00005032549.1)". Lineage: Eukaryota; Metazoa; Chordata; Actinopteri; Moronidae. The record is from RNAcentral.
CUCUGCCAGGCAAUAUACAGUGGUACGGUUUCAUUUUCACUUCCACUUUAAACCUUCGGUCAGCUCAGGAGAGGCGUCAGUUGGAUCUCCGACACUAACAGAACCACAGUCAUUAUGAUCUGAUAUCAGAUCGCAGCAACUUACAUCUGCAAAGCUCUGUCAUAUGAAGUCUGAUAUGUCAUGUAAAGGUUUGGAGUAAUUGUUUUAUUUUGAGGAAGAUAAAAUGAUUUGCUUUCUUCUCUUCUGUUGUCUGGCAGGUGGUUGUCUGGGUCUUGAAGUCCGUCAGUCUACCUCUGAUCUCAUCAAGCAACCUGGUGACAAAGUGCAGAUUUUCUGCAGCCAUGAUAAAACUGACUACAGGAUGAUGCUCUGGUACCAGCGGUCACCUGGAGACACAGCUAUGAAACUCAUCGGAUAUUUGAACUUUAAAGAUGUCAAAAUGGAAGAGAAAUAUGAAGUCGAUUUUAAUAUCACUGGAGAUUUAGGGGGGAAUACAGCCAAGAAUGGCUCUCUUAUAGUCAAACGUGUAGGACCAAAUCACAGUGCAGUGUACUACUGUGCAGCUAGCAAAGCACACUGACAGAAAUCCCCUCUGAGCUUUACAAAAACUCUUCACCAUCUUUUAUCAUGGUUUCAAAUAAUACGUGGAAUAUACUCCUCACAGACACUUGCUUUUGUGGUUGCAUUUUGGUUUUAUUCAGUUGUGUCAUCAUUAGCUAAUACAAGCUGGUUUCUAUUCUAUUGGUUUACUCUUAUUUAAACUAGACAAGACUAAAACAUAAUGAAAAAGCAAAAAGGAAGAGCCUCGAUAAUUAUCAGUUUUAUAUGCAACUACAUGAAGCCACUCCUCCUUUCUACAUCAUGAUGGCUUCCUACUUAAAUGUGACUGAGUUUAGGGAGAAAGCACAAACAACAGAGACCCUGUCGUCACUUAACCAAUACUACAUUUCAUCCAUGAUUUAACUCAGUGCUCCAUGUCAGAUCUUCAAAUGAUGAUUCGAUUUCUGUUCUGCUAUUUCCUCACAGCAGGUAUUUCACUGGGGGUUCAGAUCCAUCAGUCUCCCUCUGCUGUCAUCGGAAAGGCCGGUGGUAAUGUUCAACUUUCCUGCACACAUGGACAAAGUAACUACAGAGUGAUGCUGUGGUACCAACACACACCUGGAGACAGAGCACUGAAACUUAUUGGAUAUGGAUAUGCACAGUUCAGUAAUAACAGCGUGGAAGAGCCGUUUAGAAAACACUUCAAAUUAGCUGGAGAUCUGAGUGGAGACAACAAAAAUGGUUCACUUUCCAUAAUCAAUCUGAAAGCACUUGAACACAGCGCAGUGUACUUCUGUGCUGCAAGAGAGGCACAGUAUGUCAAACCUUUAUCUGCCCUUAACAAAAACCUCUUUACCCCUCCACUCUGAAUGUAGGUCAAAUAGGAUGGUCUACCUAUAUUUUUACAAUAAGGCAUAAACUAAAUAAGUUUUAAUAGUAAAAUGUUGUAACAGCCUGAUGCAACUAUGCUCAGUAAAUGACCCUUGAUUG